RNAcentral lists this transfer RNA (74 nucleotides) under Cordylochernes scorpioides. Its description in RNAcentral is "tRNA-OTHER". It matches the Rfam family "tRNA". Rfam says of the family: Transfer RNA (tRNA) molecules are approximately 80 nucleotides in length. Their secondary structure includes four short double-helical elements and three loops (D, anti-codon, and T loops). The record is from RNAcentral. Lineage: Eukaryota; Metazoa; Arthropoda; Arachnida; Pseudoscorpiones; Chernetidae.
GGCCCAUUAGCUCAGUUUGUUAGAGCGUCAUGCUGAUAAUGCAAAGGUCUUUGGUUCACUCCCCACAUGGGCCA